This 21-nucleotide microRNA is filed under the name Marchantia polymorpha subsp. ruderalis. Lineage: Eukaryota; Viridiplantae; Streptophyta; Marchantiopsida; Marchantiales; Marchantiaceae. The record is from RNAcentral.
UAUCUCUAGUAUUCAAAAGUG